Molecule: unclassified non-coding RNA, 396 nt
Filed under: Hevea brasiliensis (rubber tree)
Lineage: Eukaryota; Viridiplantae; Streptophyta; Magnoliopsida; Malpighiales; Euphorbiaceae
Source: RNAcentral
GGUAGGCAUUCCCCAUUGUGUUUGAAGUGGGAUACUGUUUUCCCAUUUUGGAGGGGUCAAGUUAUCAUCUCUAACUAUAAAGUCACCUAAACUAAUCUACCAAAAAUAGUUAUGCCAUAACUGUUAAAUUCAAUUCUUCCACCAAAUUGCAGGUCCCAAAGAGUCCUCAAACUUUUAAUGAAAAGUAUAAAUGACAGUGUCACAUGCCCAGACGUGUGAGAGACAUGUGAGACGCACACAUAAAAUGUAGUAAACCAAGUGCCAAUAUGAUAAGCUCACAAUUGAAGUCAAGGUAACCAACAUGAAAAAGCAACAGAAAAUUGUUCUAGUUUCUCUUGCUCCAAUAAAUUUUUAGUUAUCUUUGUAUUGAUAACAUCAUAUGAAACUUGAGCAUAG